CCUACGGGUGGCAGCAGUAGGGAAUAUUGCUCAAUGGGGGAAACCCUGAAGCAGCAACGCCGCGUGGAGGAUGAAGGUUUUCGGAUUGUAAACUCCUUUUGUUAGAGAAGAUAAUGACGGUAUCUAACGAAUAAGCACCGGCUAACUCCGUGCCAGCAGCCGCGGUAAUACGGAGGGUGCAAGCGUUACUCGGAAUCACUGGGCGUAAAGAGCGCGUAGGCGGGAUAGCAAGUCAGAUGUGAAAUCCUAUGGCUUAACCAUAGAACUGCAUUUGAUACUGUUAUUCUAGAGUAUGGGAGAGGUAGGUGGAAUUCGUGGAGUAGGGGUAAAAUGCGUAGAGAUCAAGUGGAAUACUCAUUGCGAAGGCGACCUGCUAGAACAUAACUGACGCUGAUGCGCGAAAGCGUGGGGAGCAAACAGGAUUAGAUACCCCAGUAGUC
Molecule: ribosomal RNA, 440 nt
Filed under: uncultured bacterium
Lineage: Bacteria
Description: partial 16S ribosomal RNA
Rfam family: Bacterial small subunit ribosomal RNA
Source: RNAcentral